This 300-nucleotide ribosomal RNA is filed under the name Pelobates cultripes (western spadefoot toad). It matches the Rfam family "Eukaryotic small subunit ribosomal RNA", at positions 190 to 471 of the family's 1831-position model. The record is from RNAcentral. Lineage: Eukaryota; Metazoa; Chordata; Amphibia; Anura; Pelobatidae.
GCAGGGUGGCCACCCACUAAUCAGCACAAGUUAGAAUGUGGGCAACUCAGCAGUCAUUGCGCAGGCACUUUGGUGACUCUAGAUAACCUCAGGCGGAUCGCGCGUCCCCGUGACGGCGACGACGCAUUUGAAUAUCUGCCCUAUCAACUUUCGAUGGUACUUUCUGUGCCUACCAUGGUGACCAUAGAUAACGGGGAAUCAGGGUUCCAAUCUGGAGAGGGAACCUGAGAAAUGGCUACCACAUCCAAGGAAGGUAGCAGGCGCUCAAAUUACCCACUCCUGACGCGGGGAGGUAGUGAC